RNAcentral lists this ribosomal RNA (253 nucleotides) under uncultured bacterium. Its description in RNAcentral is "partial 16S ribosomal RNA". It matches the Rfam family "Bacterial small subunit ribosomal RNA", at positions 524 to 776 of the family's 1533-position model. The record is from RNAcentral.
UACGGGGGGGGCAAGCGUUGUUCGGAAUUACUGGGCGUAAAGGGCUCGUAGGCGGCCAACUAAGUCAGACGUGAAAUCCCUCGGCCUAACCGGGGAACUGCGUCUGAUACUGGAUGGCUUGAGAUUGGGAGAGGGAUGUAGAAUUUCAGGUGUAGCGGUGAAAUGCGUAGAUAUCAAGAGGAACACCUGCGGCGAAGGCGGGUUGCUGGGCCGACACUGACGCUGAGGCGCGAAAGCUAGGGGAGCGAACGGG